AACUCAUGGUGAGAGAACCUUCUCAGUAGGUCCUUGUAUCUCUCCUAUGCAUCGUAAAGUGUUUCUAAAUUCAUCUACACAAAAGAAGAGAUAUCAUUACGCAAUUU
Molecule: small nucleolar RNA, 107 nt
Filed under: Gossypium arboreum
Lineage: Eukaryota; Viridiplantae; Streptophyta; Magnoliopsida; Malvales; Malvaceae
Description: Plant small nucleolar RNA R71
Rfam family: Plant small nucleolar RNA R71
About the family: R71 is a member of the C/D box family of snoRNAs containing the C (UGAUGA) and D (CUGA) box motifs. Multiple nearly identical copies of this snoRNA have been identified in Arabidopsis, and it is thought to function as a 2'-O-ribose methylation guide for 18S ribosomal RNA.
Source: Rfam by way of RNAcentral